Molecule: ribosomal RNA, 573 nt
Filed under: Oenococcus oeni
Lineage: Bacteria; Bacillati; Bacillota; Bacilli; Lactobacillales; Lactobacillaceae
Description: bacterial LSU rRNA
Rfam family: Bacterial large subunit ribosomal RNA
Source: RNAcentral
UAAAGGCAUAAGCAAGCUUGACUGUGAGACUGACAAGUCGAGCAGGUACGAAAGUAGGACUUAGUGAUCCGGUGGUUCCGUAUGGAAGGGCCAUCGCUCAACGGACAAAAGCUACCCCGGGGAUAACAGGCUCAUCUCCCCCAAGAGUCCACAUCGACGGGGAGGUUUGGCACCUCGAUGUCGGCUCAUCGCAUCCUGGGGCUGUAGUCGGUCCCAAGGGUUGGGCUGUUCGCCCAUUAAAGCGGUACGCGAGCUGGGUUCAGAACGUCGUGAGACAGUUCGGUCCCUAUCCGUCGUGGGCGCAGGAAAUUUGAGAGGAUCUGUCCUUAGUACGAGAGGACCGGGAUGGACAUACCUCUGGUGUACCAGUUGUUCUGCCAAGAGCACCGCUGGGUAGCUACGUAUGGAUUAGAUAAUCGCUGAAAGCAUCUAAGUGAGAAACUAACCUCGAGAUGAGAUUUCCCAUUCGUCAGAAGUAAGACCCCUGAGAGACGAUCAGGUAGAUAGGCUAGAAGUGGAAGUGUAGUGAUGCAUGGAGCGGACUAGUACUAAUAGGUCGAGGACUUAACCAAG